UACGUAGGGGGCAAGCGUUGUCCGGAAUCAUUGGGCGUAAAGAGCGUGUAGGCGGCCAGAUAAGUCCGCUGUGAAAACUCGAGGCUCAACUUCGAGCUGUCGGUGGAAACUAUUUGGCUAGAGUCCGGAAGAGGAGAGUGGAAUUCCAGGUGUAGCGGUGAAAUGCGUAGAUAUCUGGAGGAAUACCGGUGGCGAAGGCGGCAUCCUGGACCAUAACUGACGCUGAGGCGCGAAAGCUAGGGGAGCAAACGGG
This 253-nucleotide ribosomal RNA is filed under the name uncultured bacterium. RNAcentral describes it as "partial 16S ribosomal RNA". It matches the Rfam family "Bacterial small subunit ribosomal RNA", at positions 524 to 776 of the family's 1533-position model. The record is from RNAcentral.